This 714-nucleotide ribosomal RNA is filed under the name uncultured Glomeromycotina. Its description in RNAcentral is "SSU rRNA". It matches the Rfam family "Eukaryotic small subunit ribosomal RNA", at positions 330 to 1045 of the family's 1831-position model. The record is from RNAcentral. Lineage: Eukaryota; Fungi; Glomeromycota.
UGGAUAGAGGCUACCAUGGUGGUAACGGGUAACGGGGUGUUAGGGCACGACACCGGAGAGGGAGCCUGAGAAACGGCUACCACAUCCAUGGAUGGCAGCAGGCGCGCAGAUUACCCAAUCCCGACACGGGGAGGUAGUGGCAAUAAAUAACAAUACGGGGUUCUUUCGGAUCUCGUAAUUGGAAUGAGUACAAUUUAAAUCUCUUAACGAGGACCCAUUGGAAGGGCAUAUUCUGGUGCCUGCAUCCGCGGUAAUUCCAGCUCCAAUAGCGUAUAUUAAAGUUGUUGCAGUUAAAAAGCUCGUAGUUGAAUUUCGGGGUUAGUAAGUUGGUCAUGCCUCUGGUAUGAACUGGCUUUAUUGAUUCCUCCUUCUUGAUGAACUGUAAUGUCAUUAAUUUGGUGUUGCAGGGAAUCAGGACUGUUACUUUGAAAAAAUUAGAGUGUUUAAAGCAGGCAUACGCUUGAAUACAUUAGCAUGGAAUAAUGAAAUAGGACGUUUGAUCCUAUUUUGUUGGUUUCUAGGAUUGACGUAAUGAUUAAUNNGGNUUGNUGGGGGCGCAUUAGUAUUCAAUUGUCAGAGGUGAAAUUCUUGGAUUUAUUGAAGACUAACUACUGCGAAAGCAUUUGCCAAGGAUGUUUUCAUUAAUCAAGAACGAAAGUUAGGGGAUCGAAGACGAUCAGAUACCGUCGUAGUCUUAACCAUAAACUAUGCCGA